Molecule: small RNA, 123 nt
Filed under: Pseudomonas synxantha BG33R
Lineage: Bacteria; Pseudomonadati; Pseudomonadota; Gammaproteobacteria; Pseudomonadales; Pseudomonadaceae
Description: sRNA P9
Rfam family: Pseudomonas sRNA P9 (bases 49-123)
About the family: P9 appears to be conserved in several Pseudomonas species in addition to Bordetella spp. In both Pseudomonas and Bordetella spp P9 appears to be located upstream of a predicted threonine dehydratase gene. P9 has a predicted Rho independent terminator at the 3' end but the function of P9 is unknown.
Source: RNAcentral
GGUUAAUUUCGUUGCAUGACAUUUCAAGCCUUGCGCCGCCAGCCGAGCAUUAUUAUUACCGCCAUUCCUCAUUUGGCGGGAUAGCACACGGCUGCACCCAAACCCGCCCUAGAGGCGGGUUUU